CCUACGGGGGGCAGCAGUGGGGAAUAUUGCACAAUGGGCGCAAGCCUGAUGCAGCGACGCCGCGUGCGGGAUGACGGCCUUCGGGUUGUAAACCGCUUUCAGCAGGGAAGAAGCGCAAGUGACGGUACCUGCAGAAGAAGCGCCGGCUAACUACGUGCCAGCAGCCGCGGUAAUACGUAGGGCGCAAGCGUUGUCCGGAAUUAUUGGGCGUAAAGAGCUCGUAGGCGGUCUGUCGCGUCUGCUGUGAAAUCCUGAGGCUCAGCCUGGGGCUUGCAGUGGGUACGGGCAGACUAGAGUGCGGUAGGGGUGACUGGAAUUCCUGGUGUAGCGGUGGAAUGCGCAGAUAUCAGGAGGAACACCGAUGGCGAAGGCAGGUCACUGGGCCGCAACUGACGCUGAGGAGCGAAAGCAUGGGGAGCGAACAGGAUUAGAUACCCGUGUAGUC
Molecule: ribosomal RNA, 445 nt
Filed under: uncultured Cellulomonas sp.
Lineage: Bacteria; Bacillati; Actinomycetota; Actinomycetes; Micrococcales; Cellulomonadaceae
Description: bacterial SSU rRNA
Rfam family: Bacterial small subunit ribosomal RNA
Source: RNAcentral